UGCGUCUUGUUUAGCAUGAUAUGUGUGCAAAUAUAGAGCUCCUCUGAUUAAAAAAAUCAAGGUAGAAGCAGUGUGGUAAUUCAGUCUUAUAGAGUUUAAGUUGAUUUUCUGAAUUUGUUCAUAUUAUGGUAUGAAAACGGAUAUGGUGUUAUGCGGAACUCUCCAUCCGUACUGCAUGCUACGAUAUUUUGUUCCAGACGCAAGGUGUCUAAGUGUAUAAUUGCUAACUUGAGUCAUGGUUCCAGCGGAUUUUUGUAAAAGGUAUUCUGCUUGGCUAUGCGAGGUCCAACCCGCUGCAAUAUCUCGUCGAACAUCUCUGUGGGCAUACGAAGGAAGUGUAAAAAGGAUUGCCGAUCCUCCCGCCUAAGUUUGGUCAUGAGUUGGUC
This 386-nucleotide long non-coding RNA is filed under the name Mytilus galloprovincialis (Mediterranean mussel). Lineage: Eukaryota; Metazoa; Mollusca; Bivalvia; Mytilida; Mytilidae. The record is from RNAcentral.